GCUGGGUGCAGUGGUGCAUGCUGUAGUCCCAGCUACGUGGGAGGCAAGGUGGGAGGACGGCUUGAGCCCAGAAGUUCGGGGCCGUAAUGCGCUGUGCCAGUCGGGUGUCUGUCCUAAGUUUAGCCCCUAUGCAGUGACCUCUCAGGAGUGCAGAACCCUCGGUUGCCUAAGGAGGGAUGAACCUGACCAGGCUGGAACCAGAGAAGGUGAAAAUUCCCUUGCUGAUCAGUGGUGGGAUGGCGCCUGUGAACAGCCACUGCACUCCAGCCUGGACAAUACAGCGAGAACCUGUCUCU
Chlorocebus sabaeus (green monkey) is the source of this 296-nucleotide unclassified non-coding RNA. It matches the Rfam family "Metazoan signal recognition particle RNA". Rfam says of the family: The signal recognition particle (SRP) is a universally conserved ribonucleoprotein. It is involved in the co-translational targeting of proteins to membranes. The eukaryotic SRP consists of a 300-nucleotide 7S RNA and six proteins: SRPs 72, 68, 54, 19, 14, and 9. NCBI's taxonomy places the organism in Eukaryota, Metazoa, Chordata, Mammalia, Primates, Cercopithecidae. The record is from Ensembl.